RNAcentral lists this ribosomal RNA (468 nucleotides) under uncultured bacterium. RNAcentral describes it as "partial 16S ribosomal RNA". It matches the Rfam family "Bacterial small subunit ribosomal RNA", at positions 28 to 507 of the family's 1533-position model. The record is from RNAcentral.
GACGAACGCUGGCGGCGUGCUUAACACAUGCAAGUCGAACGGAAAGGCCCUGCUUUUGUGGGGUGCUCGAGUGGCGAACGGGUGAGUAACACGUGAGUAACCUGCCCUUGACUUUGGGAUAACUUCAGGAAACUGGGGCUAAUACCGGAUAGGAGCUCCUGCUGCAUGGUGGGGGUUGGAAAGUUUCGGCGGUUGGGGAUGAACUCGCGGCUUAUCAGCUUGUUGGUGGGGUAGUGGCUUACCAAGGCUUUGACGGGUAGCCGGCCUGAGAGGGUGACCGGCGACAUUGGGACUGAGAUACGGCCCAGACUCCUACGGGAGGCAGCAGUGGGGAAUAUUGCACAAUGGGCGGAAGCCUGAUGCAGCAACGCCGCGUGCGGGAUGACGGCCUUCGGGUUGUAAACCGCUUUCGCCUGUGACGAAGCGUGAGUGACGGUAAUGGGUAAAGAAGCACCGGCUAACUACGUG